GUUAAAUUAAGACUAGCUGGUUCAUGUCCAUUCAGUAUACUUUGUAUUUUUUCUA
RNAcentral lists this transfer RNA (55 nucleotides) under Benedenia seriolae. Its description in RNAcentral is "tRNA-Met". Lineage: Eukaryota; Metazoa; Platyhelminthes; Monogenea; Capsalidea; Capsalidae. The record is from RNAcentral.